AGUAACGCGUGAGGAACCUGCCUCAAAGAGGGGGACAACAGUUGGAAAUGACUGCUAAUACCGCAUAAGCCCACAGCUCGGCAUCGAGCAGAGGGAAAAGGAGCAAUCCGCUUUGAGAUGGCCUCGCGUCCGAUUAGCUAGUUGGUGAGGUAACGGCCCACCAAGGCGACGAUCGGUAGCCGGACUGAGAGGUUGAACGGCCACAUUGGGACUGAGACACGGCCCAG
Molecule: ribosomal RNA, 227 nt
Filed under: uncultured bacterium
Lineage: Bacteria
Description: partial 16S ribosomal RNA
Rfam family: Bacterial small subunit ribosomal RNA
Source: RNAcentral